RNAcentral lists this ribosomal RNA (161 nucleotides) under Nicotiana sylvestris (wood tobacco). Its description in RNAcentral is "partial 18S ribosomal RNA". It matches the Rfam family "Eukaryotic small subunit ribosomal RNA", at positions 1 to 162 of the family's 1831-position model. The record is from RNAcentral. Lineage: Eukaryota; Viridiplantae; Streptophyta; Magnoliopsida; Solanales; Solanaceae.
UACCUGGUUGAUCCUGCCAGUAGUCAUAUGCUUGUCUCAAAGAUUAAGCCAUGCAUGUGUAAGUAUGCCAAAUUCAGACUGUGAAACUGCGAAUGGCUCAUUAAAUCAGUUAUAGUUUGUUUGAUGGUAUCUACUACUCGGAUAACCGUAGUAAUUCUAGA